This 496-nucleotide ribosomal RNA is filed under the name uncultured bacterium. RNAcentral describes it as "partial 16S ribosomal RNA". It matches the Rfam family "Bacterial small subunit ribosomal RNA", at positions 28 to 506 of the family's 1533-position model. The record is from RNAcentral.
GAUGAACGCUGGCGGCGUGCCUAAUACAUGCAAGUCGAGCGAACAGACGAGGAGCUUGCUCCUCUGACGUUAGCGGCGGACGGGUGAGUAACACGUGGAUAACCUACCUAUAAGACUGGGAUAACUUCGGGAAACCGGAGCUAAUACCGGAUAAUAUAUUGAACCGCAUGGUUCAAUAGUGAAAGACGGUUUUGCUGUCACUUAUAGAUGGAUCCGCGCCGCAUUAGCUAGUUGGUAAGGUAACGGCUUACCAAGGCAACGAUGCGUAGCCGACCUGAGAGGGUGAUCGGCCACACUGGAACUGAGACACGGUCCAGACUCCUACGGGAGGCAGCAGUAGGGAAUCUUCCGCAAUGGGCGAAAGCUUGACGGAGCUACGCCGCGUGAGUGAUGAAGGUCUUCGGAUCGUAAAACUCUGUUAUUAGGGAAGAACAAAUGUGUAAGUAACUAUGCACGUCUUGACGGUACCUAAUCAGAAAGCCACGGCUAACUACGU